Neoarius graeffei (lesser salmon catfish) is the source of this 597-nucleotide long non-coding RNA. RefSeq lists it as uncharacterized. The record is from RefSeq and is a predicted model, not a curated record. The transcript has 2 exons. NCBI's taxonomy places the organism in Eukaryota, Metazoa, Chordata, Actinopteri, Siluriformes, Ariidae.
UUACCAUGAAACUCUACAGUCAUUCUAUCCCUAAUCUGUUCAUAUGUCAUGCAUCAACAUUUUUGUAAGGUGACAGACAGCAGAGAGGCUGGAGGAGAUUAAAGACAGUGCAGAGAAGGUAGAGGAAGAGAGGCAGGAAGAGAAAGAGGAGCAGAGGCUGAAGGGGAGGAUGGAGGAGGUAGAGGAGGGGAAUCCACAGCUGGAGGAGAUGGAGAAGCGGAAAGAGAGGUUGGAAAUUCACAGCUUUCCAUGGAAAAGGGACCUGAAUCACCAAAGUCAUCACUGCAGUAAAACCUGAUGUGGAUGAAGGGCUCUGAAUUGAGGAGUUUCACAUGAAAUGUCUUUGGAAAACGUCUGAAAAAGCUUCUUUCCUCUGACAGUUUUUAUCACUCAUGUUUUUGUUUUCCAUGCAGCCCUACUGUGAAGCAGUCGGUCUCCUCAGUUCCUAAAUGUUUACAGAGUGUUAUUAAAAGUAGAAGUGAUGCUGCACAGUGGUAAACAUGCCCCUGUCCCAACUCUUUUGAAACAUGUUGCUGACAUCAAAUUCAAAAGGAGCAUAUAGUUUUCAAAAAACAAUAAAAUUUCUCAGUUUCAAUA